Molecule: ribosomal RNA, 497 nt
Filed under: uncultured bacterium
Lineage: Bacteria
Description: partial 16S ribosomal RNA
Rfam family: Bacterial small subunit ribosomal RNA
Source: RNAcentral
GAUGAACGCUGGCGGCGUGCCUAAUACAUGCAAGUCGAGCGAACAGACGAGGAGCUUGCUCCUCUGACGUUAGCGGCGGACGGGUGAGUAACACGUGGAUAACCUACCUAUAAGACUGGGAUAACUUCGGGAAACCGGAGCUCAUACCGGAUCAUAUAUUGAACCGCAUGGUUCAUUAGUGAAAGACGGUUUUGCUGUCCCUUAUAGAUGGAUCCGCGCCGCAUUAGCUAGUUGGUAAGGUAACGGCUUACCAAGGCAACGAUGCGUAGCCGACCUGAGAGGAUGAUCGGCCACACUGGAACUGAGACACGGUCCAGACUCCUACGGGAGGCAGCAGUAGGGAAUCUUCCGCAAAGGGCGAAAGCCUGACGGAGCCACGCCGCGUGAGUGAUGAAGGUCUUCGGAUCGUAAAACUCUGUUAUUAGGGAAGAACAAAUGUGUAAGUAACUAUGCACGUCUUGACGGUACCUAAUCAGAAAGCCACGGCUAACUACGUG